UAAGCGACUAAGCGUACACGGUGGAUGCCCUGGCAGUCAGAGGCGAUGAAGGACGUGCUAAUCUGCGAUAAGCGUCGGUAAGGUGAUAUGAACCGUUAUAACCGGCGAUUUCCGAAUGGGGAAACCCAGUGUGUUUCGACACACUAUCAUUAACUGAAUCCAUAGGUUAAUGAGGCGAACCGGGGGAACUGAAACAUCUAAGUACCCCGAGGAAAAGAAAUCAACCGAGAUUCCCCCAGUAGCGGCGAGCGAACGGGGAGCAGCCCAGAGCCUGAAUCAGUGUGUGUGUUAGUGGAAGCGUCUGGAAAGGCGCGCGAUACAGGGUGACAGCCCCGUACACAAAAAUGCACAUGCUGUGAGCUCGAUGAGUAGGGCGGGACACGUGGUAUCCUGUCUGAAUAUGGGGGGACCAUCCUCCAAGGCUAAAUACUCCUGACUGACCGAUAGUGAACCAGUACCGUGAGGGAAAGGCGAAAAGAACCCCGGCGAGGGGAGUGAAAAAGAACCUGAAACCGUGUACGUACAAGCAGUGGGAGCACGCUUAGGCGUGUGACUGCGUACCUUUUGUAUAAUGGGUCAGCGACUUAUAUUCUGUAGCAAGGUUAACCGAAUAGGGGAGCCGAAGGGAAACCGAGUCUUAACUGGGCGUUAAGUUGCAGGGUAUAGACCCGAAACCCGGUGAUCUAGCCAUGGGCAGGUUGAAGGUUGGGUAACACUAACUGGAGGACCGAACCGACUAAUGUUGAAAAAUUAGCGGAUGACUUGUGGCUGGGGGUGAAAGGCCAAUCAAACCGGGAGAUAGCUGGUUCUCCCCGAAAGCUAUUUAGGUAGCGCCUCGUGAAUUCAUCUCCGGGGGUAGAGCACUGUUUCGGCAAGGGGGUCAUCCCGACUUACCAACCCGAUGCAAACUGCGAAUACCGGAGAAUGUUAUCACGGGAGACACACGGCGGGUGCUAACGUCCGUCGUGAAGAGGGAAACAACCCAGACCGCCAGCUAAGGUCCCAAAGUCAUGGUUAAGUGGGAAACGAUGUGGGAAGGCCCAGACAGCCAGGAUGUUGGCUUAGAAGCAGCCAUCAUUUAAAGAAAGCGUAAUAGCUCACUGGUCGAGUCGGCCUGCGCGGAAGAUGUAACGGGGCUAAACCAUGCACCGAAGCUGCGGCAGCGACGCUGAUGCGUUGUUGGGUAGGGGAGCGUUCUGUAAGCCUGCGAAGGUGUGCUGUGAGGCAUGCUGGAGGUAUCAGAAGUGCGAAUGCUGACAUAAGUAACGAUAAAGCGGGUGAAAAGCCCGCUCGCCGGAAGACCAAGGGUUCCUGUCCAACGUUAAUCGGGGCAGGGUGAGUCGACCCCUAAGGCGAGGCCGAAAGGCGUAGUCGAUGGGAAACAGGUUAAUAUUCCUGUACUUGGUGUUACUGCGAAGGGGGGACGGAGAAGGCUAUGUUGGCCGGGCGACGGUUGUCCCGGUUUAAGCGUGUAGGCUGGUUUUCCAGGCAAAUCCGGAAAAUCAAGGCUGAGGCGUGAUGACGAGGCACUACGGUGCUGAAGCAACAAAUGCCCUGCUUCCAGGAAAAGCCUCUAAGCAUCAGGUAACAUCAAAUCGUACCCCAAACCGACACAGGUGGUCAGGUAGAGAAUACCAAGGCGCUUGAGAGAACUCGGGUGAAGGAACUAGGCAAAAUGGUGCCGUAACUUCGGGAGAAGGCACGCUGAUAUGUAGGUGAGGUCCCUCGCGGAUGGAGCUGAAAUCAGUCGAAGAUACCAGCUGGCUGCAACUGUUUAUUAAAAACACAGCACUGUGCAAACACGAAAGUGGACGUAUACGGUGUGACGCCUGCCCGGUGCCGGAAGGUUAAUUGAUGGGGUUAGCGCAAGCGAAGCUCUUGAUCGAAGCCCCGGUAAACGGCGGCCGUAACUAUAACGGUCCUAAGGUAGCGAAAUUCCUUGUCGGGUAAGUUCCGACCUGCACGAAUGGCGUAAUGAUGGCCAGGCUGUCUCCACCCGAGACUCAGUGAAAUUGAACUCGCUGUGAAGAUGCAGUGUACCCGCGGCAAGACGGAAAGACCCCGUGAACCUUUACUAUAGCUUGACACUGAACAUUGAGCCUUGAUGUGUAGGAUAGGUGGGAGGCUUAGAAGUGUGGACGCCAGUCUGCAUGGAGCCGACCUUGAAAUACCACCCUUUAAUGUUUGAUGUUCUAACGUUGACCCGUAAUCCGGGUUGCGGACAGUGUCUGGUGGGUAGUUUGACUGGGGCGGUCUCCUCCUAAAGAGUAACGGAGGAGCACGAAGGUUGGCUAAUCCUGGUCGGACAUCAGGAGGUUAGUGCAAUGGCAUAAGCCAGCUUGACUGCGAGCGUGACGGCGCGAGCAGGUGCGAAAGCAGGUCAUAGUGAUCCGGUGGUUCUGAAUGGAAGGGCCAUCGCUCAACGGAUAAAAGGUACUCCGGGGAUAACAGGCUGAUACCGCCCAAGAGUUCAUAUCGACGGCGGUGUUUGGCACCUCGAUGUCGGCUCAUCACAUCCUGGGGCUGAAGUAGGUCCCAAGGGUAUGGCUGUUCGCCAUUUAAAGUGGUACGCGAGCUGGGUUUAGAACGUCGUGAGACAGUUCGGUCCCUAUCUGCCGUGGGCGCUGGAGAACUGAGGGGGGCUGCUCCUAGUACGAGAGGACCGGAGUGGACGCAUCACUGGUGUUCGGGUUGUCAUGCCAAUGGCACUGCCCGGUAGCUAAAUGCGGAAGAGAUAAGUGCUGAAAGCAUCUAAGCACGAAACUUGCCCCGAGAUGAGUUCUCCCUGACUCCUUGAGAGUCCUGAAGGAACGUUGAAGACGACGACGUUGAUAGGCCGGGUGUGUAAGCGCAGCGAUGCGUUGAGCU
This 2868-nucleotide ribosomal RNA is filed under the name Escherichia coli 2-011-08_S3_C1. RNAcentral describes it as "bacterial LSU rRNA". It matches the Rfam family "Bacterial large subunit ribosomal RNA". Lineage: Bacteria; Pseudomonadati; Pseudomonadota; Gammaproteobacteria; Enterobacterales; Enterobacteriaceae. The record is from RNAcentral.